CAAGUCGAACGCGAAAGUCCCCUUCGGGGGACAAGUAGAGUGGCGCACGGGUGAGUAACACGUAGGUAAUCUACCUUUGGAUUGGGAAUAACCACCGGAAACGGUGGCUAAUACCGAAUAAUGCAGCGGCACCUAAUGGUGACAGUUGUUAAAGCGGGGGAUCGCAAGACCUCGCGUCUGAAGAGGAGCCUGCGGCAGAUUAGCUAGUUGGUAAGGUAACGGCUUACCAAGGCGAUGAUCUGUAGCCGGCCUGAGAGGGCGGUCGGCCACACUGACACUGACAUACGGGUCAGACUCCUACGGGAGGCAGCAGUCGGGAAUUUUGGGCAAUGGGCGAAAGCCUGACCCAGCAACGCCGCGUGAAGGAUGAAAUCCCUCGGGAUGUAAACUUCGCAAGAACGGGAAGAAUAAGUAAGAGCUAACAUCUCUUACGAUGACGGUACUGUUUGUAAGCUCCGGCUAACUCCGUGCCAGCAGCCGCGGUAAUACGGGGGGAGCAAGCGUUGUUCGGAUUUACUGGGCGUAAAGGGCGCGUAGGCGGCACCGCAAGUCGACUGUGAAAUCUCCGGGCUUAACUCGGAAAGGUCAGCCGAUACUGCGGGGCUAGAGUGCAGAAGGGGCAACUGGAAUUCUCGGUGUAGCGGUGAAAUGCGUAGAUAUCGAGAGGAACACCUGCGGCGAAGGCGGGUUGCUGGGCUGACACUGACGCUGAUGCGCGAAAGCUAGGGGAGCGAACGGGAUUAGAUACCCCGGUAGUCCUAGCCUUAAACGAUGAAUGCUUGGUGUCUGGGGUUUUAUAGUCCCCGGGUGCCGUCGCUAACGCUUUAAGCAUUCCGCCUGGGGAGUACGGUCGCAAGACUGAAACUCAAAGGAAUUGACGGGGACCCGCACAAGCGGUGGA
RNAcentral lists this ribosomal RNA (901 nucleotides) under uncultured Bacillota bacterium. RNAcentral's name for it is "bacterial SSU rRNA". It matches the Rfam family "Bacterial small subunit ribosomal RNA", at positions 58 to 936 of the family's 1533-position model. The record is from RNAcentral. Lineage: Bacteria; Bacillati; Bacillota.